RNAcentral lists this ribosomal RNA (349 nucleotides) under uncultured bacterium. RNAcentral describes it as "bacterial SSU rRNA". It matches the Rfam family "Bacterial small subunit ribosomal RNA", at positions 917 to 1269 of the family's 1533-position model. The record is from RNAcentral.
GGGCCCGCACAAGCGGUGGAGCAUGUGGUUUAAUUCGAUGAUACGCGAGGAACCUUACCAGGGCUUAAAUGCAGAAUGACAGAUUGGGAAACCAGUCCUUCUUCGGACAUUUUGCAAGGUGCUGCAUGGUUGUCGUCAGCUCGUGCCGUGAGGUGUCAGGUUAAGUCCUAUAACGAGCGCAACCCCUAUCAUUAGUUGCCAGCGGGUAAUGCCGGGAACUCUAAUGAGACUGCCAGCGCAAGCUGCGAGGAAGGUGGGGAUGACGUCAAAUCAUCACGGCCCUUACGUCCUGGCUACACACGUGCUACAAUGGUUGGGACAAUGGGCAGCCACUACGCGAGUAGGAGCU